UGGGGAAUAUUGCACAACGGGCGCAAGCCUGAUGCAGCCAUGCCGCGUGUGUGAAGAAGGCCUUCGGGUUGUAAAGCACUUUCAGCGGGGAGGAAGGCGUUAAGGUUAAUAACCUUGGCGAUUUACGUUACCCGCAGAAGAAGCACCGGCUAACUCCGUGCCAGCAGCCGCGGUAAUACGGAGGGUGCAAGCGUUAAUCGGAAUUACUGGGCGUAAAGCGCACGCAGGCGGUCUGUCAAGUCGGAUGUGAAAUCCCCGGGCUCAACCUGGGAACUGCAUUCGAAACUGGCAGGCUAGAGUCUUGUAGAGGGGGGUAGAAUUCCAGGUGUAGCGGUGAAAUGCGUAGAGAUCUGGAGGAAUACCGGUGGCGAAGGCGGCCCCCUGGACAAAGACUGACGCUCAGGUGCGAAAGCGUGGGGAGCAAACAGG
Molecule: ribosomal RNA, 429 nt
Filed under: Chloroflexota bacterium
Lineage: Bacteria; Bacillati; Chloroflexota
Description: Chloroflexi bacterium partial 16S ribosomal RNA
Rfam family: Bacterial small subunit ribosomal RNA
Source: RNAcentral